AUGCAUCUAUAUUUUAAAUACAUAAAUACAACUUCCUCAGUCUGUAUAAUAUUAUUUGUUGUGGAUGUUUUCUGGGCUGACCAUUUGGUAUUAGAGAACUGAUCGGCGUGCUUUCCCGGGGAAGAUGACCUCUCGUGCUCGCUGUGCUCCUUAGGUGGCUGUGGUUCUUUGUGCAGGCUGAGGCCUUGUGGGCUUUCUCUCCCCACAUCACCGUGUCUGCUGGGGAGGUCCUUGUGCAGGUCAUGCUUAGGCAGCUAUGUUGGUAAGACUUUAUGGGACACCUUUCUUUCUUUCCUUCUUUCUUUCCUUCUUCCUUUUCUUUUCUUUUCUUUUCUUUUCUUUUCUUUUCUUUUCUUUUCUUUCUUUCUUUCUUUCUUUCUUUCUUUCUCUCUCUCUCUCUCUCUCUCUCUCUCUCUCUCUCUCUCUCUUUCUCAUUAUCAGUAUUAUUUGUGUGUGUGUGGUGUGCGUGUGUUUCUGUGUUUCUGUGUGUGUGUGUGUGUGUGGUAUACAGUGUGUAUACGUGGGCACAAACAUAUUACAGCAUGCCUGUGGAAGUCAGAGGACAACUCUGUAGAUUCAAUUAUGUCCUUCUACCUAUAUGUUGGGUUAGGAGAUAGGCCUCGAGGCUUAUAUGGCCAGUGCCUUUUCCUGCAGAAUUAUCUUAGGACCCCAAAUUGCUUUCUAAGCCAAUUGUGCCCCCCAAAGUACCCCACAAUGCUACUCUGAAAAUGCUGUUUGGUGGUUGUCAACAUUGUUGGUGUAAUUGCACUAUCAAUCUGGCAGCUGGAAAUGAGAACCUCCUUGGUUGACUCUGUCAUAAUCUCAAUAGGAAACAUGUUCUGUGUCCUUACCACAGGUGACAGACUCUUAAGAGGUAGACUGUGUCUCUUAUAUUUUAUGUCUUUAUUUUACAAAUCAAGAAACUAUAGCCACCAGGUAGGUAACUGGGAACUAUAAUCAAACUCAUCCCAGUUCAUGGGACCCUUGAGUCUGGGUGUGGCUCAUUGAAUUUAAAACCUAAGAAAAGACUCCAGGCAGCAAUAAAGUCACCUGACUGAAAUAAUGUAUACUACCAUUUGAAAGACCCACAGAAAUAUUUCUGGCCUUUAUUAAAAUGAAACAGAAACCACUCGUUACUAUAAAUAAACCUGUUUUACAGAAAGAAUUUUAUGAAAUUUAGCAGAAAUAAAAACAUCUAGUUUAAUCCAGUGAUUGCUCACUUUCUGAAUAAAAGCAGCCUAUGGAGUUAUUAAAAGAGUAAACAAAAUGCCAUUUUACAAACAUCUUGAAUCUUUUUGAAAAGAGGAGAUAUGGGACUGGUGGUAUGGGGUCACUAUGUAAUGCCACCACACCUGACUCAACUUCAAUCCUGGGAUUCACACACAAAAAAAGGAGACAACUGACUUUCACAGUUGUCUUCUCAUGUCCUUACAUGUGUCAUAAUGCUUAGACAUCAGUGUACACACACACAUACAUACAUACAUACAUACUCUCACACACACACACUUACACACAUUCACACACACAUACAUACUCCCAUACACUCCUCAUACACAAACUUUCACACACACCCUUACACAUACACAUGUGUACACACUAACAUACACACAUAAACACACACUCACACAGAAUAAAGGAAACAAAAAUGUUUUCAAGAAAAAGUAGGAUGUUAUCAGUGUUGUGUAUUUGGUAAUUCAGGGUGUUUGAGCCUGAAAGCUAGGGUUUGACUUUUGGACUAUUAAUUACCUAUCUAUGGCUUUCUUUUUCACUGUUCCUUGCCCCCUACUUUCUCUCCAAAUCAACUGUAAAACUUAUUUGUGACACUGUUGUUUAAAGAGGAACCUUUUCUGGCAGUGCGACUACUCUUGCAUUGCGCUUAGGACAGGCUUAGGGUCAUGUCCAGUUCUACCAUAAGCCUUUGAGAAGGCACAGACAUGUGAAGCUGGGGCCUGUGUCUUUCUAUGCCGUUUCUCUUGCUUGGUAACUCGAGUAUCUCUGCUCUUAGAGUCUUGCCUCUGAGUUCCUAGGAAGACCUGAAAUAGAAUGUAUCACACAUGUACAUUUUUGAAGGCUUGUGAGUGCAGACGGAAUAUAAAACCCAAGUCCAUAUUCUUAGUAUGAGUCUCCAGUAAUUGGAGUUGGGAUACACAUGGACAUUCUGUCUCUUGCUUGCAGUCUUUAUUUGCAUGUGUAAGGAAGCUGGAUUUCCAUUCUGCCUGUAUUUAGGAUAUUGUCAGGCAUCAUUUCUUUGAAAAGAUAUUCUCAAGCUGGAACAACAGGAUCUAUCAUAAGACUCUAUUCAACUCAUGGCACCUAACACUGCAGCAUACUAGGAACACUUUAGCCCCCACAAUCACUGUGAUGAUUCAGGCAUUUUCUAAUUUGCCAAAGUGGUGCACACUUUUAAUCCCAGCCUUAUAGAGAUAGGAAAGAUCUGAAUGACAUGAUGGUUCAAGGCCAUCCUCAGAAAACAUUUGAGUUUAAUACCUACCUAGCUACAUGUGUCUCUGUCUCAAAAUCAAAAUGAUAAUUAGGCCAUUUUCUUGCUAUUACUUCUUUUGUUAAAAAUUUAUAAUUGACAUUUUAUUAAAUAAUUUUUACAUCAGUACUAUGUGUUAAACCUCAGUGUUAGAAGUUGAAGCAAAACCAUGCAAACAAACUAUUAAAAAUAAACAUGUAAUCAGCUUCUUAUCUACCCUAAGUACCACCCAGGACUCAGUGCCAGAGUCUUAUCUACCCUAAGUACCACCCAGGACUCAGUGCCAGAUGGAGGAAGGGAUUUCACAGUUUGGACAAAAAGCAGUGGCCAGUGAUUUUUUUUUUCAAGUAAGCCAAGCUUCACCAGCCCCUUGGAUUUUAUUGUAAAGAUUAAUGUAGCUGCAUUCAGGAGGAAUGUCUUAGGGUUCCUUAGCCAGACUAUCGUCCUCAUCUCUCCUCUUCCAUGUAUAUAAAUCCCCUCAUAUCGUUGGGGAUAUAGUCUUUCCCCCUAGUAAUUUCCCCCUAGGCUUUCCUCUCUUCUACCUAACACUUGUAACAUGCUAGAUGAAUUGGGCAUAUUAUUCUCACAAAGGAUAGUUAUGGGGCGCAGUCUUUCUAUAUAGCCUAAGCUAGCCUCAAACCCACCGUACUCCUGCCUCAGUCUGUUCAGUGCUAGGGUUACAAGCAUGUACCACAAUGCCUGGUUUGACUUCACCAACUUAAACAUGUCAUAUUCUUCUUGCAAAUUCUGUUGGCCACUCUGC
RNAcentral lists this long non-coding RNA (3242 nucleotides) under Mus musculus (house mouse). Its description in RNAcentral is "long non-coding RNA chr16:7007610-7010852". The record is from RNAcentral. Lineage: Eukaryota; Metazoa; Chordata; Mammalia; Rodentia; Muridae.